GAGAGAGAGAGAGAGAGAAUUACACAGACACUUUUUUUUUUUAUCAAAGCCAUGAUCACAGAAGGCGAAAAAUAUGCGUUAAAGGAAAAUAUUUAAUUCCUCCUCGGUUAAUGGUUCUGCAAUCAAAAAGACAAAAUGCAGGACUUUUCAUUACACGGAAGCCAAUUAUUUGCGCACCAAUGGAAGCAGAGCUGCCAUGCAAGGCGCUAACUUGCCAUCGGGAACAACUUGGGGUUCACAGUCUUGCCCAAGGACACUUCGGCAUGUGGAGUCACGUGGGCCGGGAAUUGAACCUCCAGCCCUACGAUUAAUGCACAACCCGCUCUACCUACCUGAACCGCCCAAUUAAUUAAAGGCUUGUAAGUUCCGUGGGCUGGAUGGAUGACACAAAUGGCAUUUGUUCACUAGCUGGCCAGCUUCCAAGAUGUGCAUCUGUAAAGAGUGGCAAUCAGAUAGCA
Ictalurus punctatus (channel catfish) is the source of this 458-nucleotide long non-coding RNA. The record is from Ensembl. Lineage: Eukaryota; Metazoa; Chordata; Actinopteri; Siluriformes; Ictaluridae.